GACGAACGCUGGCGGCGUGCUUAACACAUGCAAGUCGAGCGGAAAGGCCCUUCGGGGUACUCGAGCGGCGAACGGGUGAGUAACACGUGAGUAAUCUGCCCUUGGCUUUGGGAUAACUACCGGAAACGGUGGCUAAUACCGGAUACGACAACCGUCUGCAUGGGCUGGUUGUGGAAAGUUUUUUCGGCCAGGGAUGUGCUCGCGGCCUAUCAGCUUGUUGGUGGGGUAAUGGCCUACCAAGGCUUCGACGGGUAGCCGGCCUGCGAGGGUGACCGGCCACACUGGGACUGAGACACGGCCCAGACUCCUACGGGAGGCAGCAGUGGGGAAUAUUGGACAAUGGGCGGAAGCCUGAGCCAGCAACGCCGCGUGAGGGAUGACGGCCGUCGGGUUGUAAACCUCUUUCAGUACCGACGAAGCGCCGAUGAUGGUGGUGACGGUAGGUACAGAAGAAGCACCGGCCAACUACGUG
This 472-nucleotide ribosomal RNA is filed under the name uncultured bacterium. RNAcentral's name for it is "partial 16S ribosomal RNA". It matches the Rfam family "Bacterial small subunit ribosomal RNA", at positions 28 to 507 of the family's 1533-position model. The record is from RNAcentral.